GAGAGUUAUUAGAGCAUUCUAUUAUGACACCAACAUCCGACCAAAUACAGAAUUUUAAACAGACCCAUAUCAUGGCCCAUAGAAACAUUUGGAUUUUAAUAUGUGCUUUUACGAUAUUAUCAACGGUAUAUAAUUCACAUGCCGCCAUUUUGAGACCAGAUUGGUAUCCAUAUUUUCAAGAUUUAAAUCCAGAAUCUAAUUCUAAUGAAAUACUUAGAGUGAGACAAACCAGAACACUUCCACAACAUGUAAAAUGUCCACCGGAUAUGACGAAAUAUGAAUGCUAUCACGAAUUAAUGGCCGUCUGGACACGGGUUUUAAAGAAUAAAAGAAAUGUAUAUGAAUAGUCUGAAGACGAACUCUUAAUUUUUUCCUGAAAACCAAAGUUAAAUUGCGUUAUGUGUAUUUACAAAUGAUUAGAUUUAUUUUUACCUGCAAGCAAUAUUCAAUGAGCUCUAUAAACAAAUCAUGUAAUCAUAUAAUUAUCAUAAAUUGCUAAAGUAAAAUUGUUUGGAAUGUUUAACGUGUUCUUUUAUUUGCUAUAAUUUCAA
Molecule: long non-coding RNA, 551 nt
Organism: Patella vulgata (common limpet)
Lineage: Eukaryota; Metazoa; Mollusca; Gastropoda; Patellidae
Exons: 3
Source: RefSeq, a predicted model, not a curated record